Molecule: ribosomal RNA, 984 nt
Filed under: Clostridioides difficile
Lineage: Bacteria; Bacillati; Bacillota; Clostridia; Peptostreptococcales; Peptostreptococcaceae
Description: bacterial LSU rRNA
Rfam family: Bacterial large subunit ribosomal RNA
Source: RNAcentral
GGAGGUCCGAACCCACGAGAGGUGAAAAGAUCGGGGAUGACUUGUGGGUAGCGGUGAAAUUCCAAUCGAGCCCGGAGAUAGCUGGUUCUCCCCGAAAUAGCUUUAGGGCUAGCCUCAAGGUGAGAGAUACGGAGGUAGAGCACUGAAUGUCCUAGGGGGUAUUGCACCUACCGAAGACUAUCAAACUCCGAAUGCCGUCAUCUUAUACUUGGGAGUCAGACUGUGGGUGAUAAGAUUCAUAGUCGAAAGGGCAACAGCCCAGAUCGUCAGCUAAGGUCCCUAAAUGUAAGUUAAGUGGUAAAGGAUGUGGGAUUGCACAGACAACCAGGAUGUUGGCUUAGAAGCAGCCACUCAUUCAAAGAGUGCGUAAUAGCUCACUGGUCGAGUGAUCCUGCGCCGAAGAUUUCCGGGGCUAAAACUUACUACCGAAGCUACGGCAUCAGUAAUGAUGGGUAGGGGAGCUUCCCAUACGGGUUGAAGCAUGACCGUAAGGACAUGUGGACAGUAUGGGAGUGAGAAUGUUGGCAUGAGUAGCGAGAUGUGGGUGGGAAUCCCACAGGCCGUAAACCCAAGGUUUCCAGGGGAAGGUUCGUCCGCCCUGGGUUAGUCGGGACCUAAGCUGAGGCCGAAAGGCGUAGGUGAUGGACAACAGGUUGAUAUUCCUGUACUACCGAUAACCAUUUGAGAGAUGGGAUGACACAGUAGGAUAAGCUAAGCACACUGUUGGUUAUGUGUGCCCAAGCAUUGAGGCAGUCAAAGUAGGCAAAUCCGCUUUGAUAAUGCUGGGAUGUGAUGGGGAGCGAAAUUUAGUAGCGAAGUAGCUGAUUUCACACUGUCAAGAAAAGUCUCUAUCGAGGUUAAAGGUACCCGUACCGCAAACCGACACAGGUGGGUGAGGAGAGUAUCCUAAGGCCAGCGAGAGAACUGUUGUUAAGGAACUCGGCAAAAUGACCCCGUAACUUAGGGAUAAGGGGUGCCACCAUC